Molecule: long non-coding RNA, 758 nt
Filed under: Androctonus crassicauda
Lineage: Eukaryota; Metazoa; Arthropoda; Arachnida; Scorpiones; Buthidae
Source: RNAcentral
CAACACGUCACGCCACUUUCCAUUCUGGAAGAAUACCAAGUGGCGGGGUGAAACAAGCCCUUCCACAGGCUUCCGUCCCUGCGGAGGGGUCAGCUGGAUUAUGAAGGAAGGUGAUCGACGGGUCGGGCCCCGUCCCCAUGAUAAAUAUUUUCAAGGGAGUGGGACUCCAGAGUGGAAAGCCGAAGGUUUCCACGCUGCCAAUCCGGCCCGUUGAACCUCUCCAACUCUCCGGUUGACUCAGUGAUCCCACCAGUUAUAGAAUAUCUGUCGGAUUGGCCGCAUGGAGGUCACGAUUCCUAUCAUGUAGUCCGAUUCUAGCCUCGCCGUCGAUCCCAGACAUCCAUAAUCCGGCUGAUACCUCCGCAGAGGUGGGCGGCCUGUGAAGAGUUUUUUUUAUACUACCUUUCCCUAUGAGGGUUAUAUAGGAACUUAUCCCCAAAAACGAUAACCUCGAAAGCCGAAUAUGAAGAAAGGGCGGGCAAGCCCGUCGGACGGUCUGGAUCCGUAUAGGGUCCUACCGCAGGCCCCAGUGACGGAUGUGGGCAGUGCCGUAGCUAAGCAGGUGCAACUGCACAGGGCCCACUUGGAAGGGGGGACCAAAAUGCUGUUCACAAGAAAUUAUAUUUUUAAAUUUUCCGCCUUUCUACUGCACCGUUCGGUGAUUAGAUUUUGUCUCAUUUAGACCCUAGAUGUUUCCGCUCAUCAAUAUGAACAUUCGAAUGAAUGGCAGAACUGACUAUUUUCAACACGCUUGUGUU